UGGGGAAUUUUGGACAAUGGGGGCAACCCUGAUCCAGCCAUGCCGCGUGAGUGAAGAAGGCCUUCGGGUUGUAAAGCUCUUUCGGCGGGGACGAAACGGUCCGUGACAACACCACGGACUAAUGACGGUACUCGCAGAAGAAGCACCGGCUAACUACGUGCCAGCAGCCGCGGUAAUACGUAGGGUGCAGGCGUUAAUCGGAAUUACUGGGCGUAAAGCGUGCGCAGGCGGCUCCUUAAGUCAGAUGUGAAAUCCCCGGGCUUAACCUGGGAACUGCGUUUGAAACUGGGGAGCUAGAGUGUGGAAGAGGGGGGUGGAAUUCCAGGUGUAGCAGUGAAAUGCGUAGAGAUCUGGAGGAACACCGAUGGCGAAGGCAGCCCCCUGGGCUAACACUGACGCUCAUGCACGAAAGCGUGGGGAGCAAACAGGAUUAGAUACCCCCGUAGUCCCUGAG
Molecule: ribosomal RNA, 454 nt
Filed under: uncultured bacterium
Lineage: Bacteria
Description: bacterial SSU rRNA
Rfam family: Bacterial small subunit ribosomal RNA
Source: RNAcentral